UACGAAGGGGGCUAGCGUUGCUCGGAAUCACUGGGCGUAAAGGGUGCGUAGGCGGGUCUUUAAGUCCGGGGUGAAAUCCUGGAGCUCAACUCCAGAACUUCCUUCGAUACUGGAAGACUUGAGUCCGGGAGAGGUGAGUGGAACUGCGAGUGUAGAGGUGAAAUUCGUAGAUAUUCGCAAGAACACCAGUGGCGAAGGCGGCUCACUGGUCCGGUACUGACGCUGAGGUGCGAAAGCGUGGGGAGCAAACAGG
This 253-nucleotide ribosomal RNA is filed under the name uncultured bacterium. RNAcentral describes it as "partial 16S ribosomal RNA". It matches the Rfam family "Bacterial small subunit ribosomal RNA", at positions 524 to 776 of the family's 1533-position model. The record is from RNAcentral.